This is a transfer RNA of Danaus plexippus plexippus, 74 nucleotides long. It matches the Rfam family "tRNA". From Rfam's summary of the family: Transfer RNA (tRNA) molecules are approximately 80 nucleotides in length. Lineage: Eukaryota; Metazoa; Arthropoda; Insecta; Lepidoptera; Nymphalidae. The record is from Rfam.
GGCCCAUUAGCUCAAUUGGUUAGAGCGUCGUGCUAAUAAUGAGGAGGUCGAGGGUUCGAAUCCCUCAUAGGACA